This 3962-nucleotide ribosomal RNA is filed under the name Triticum aestivum (bread wheat). RNAcentral's name for it is "partial small subunit ribosomal RNA". The record is from RNAcentral. Lineage: Eukaryota; Viridiplantae; Streptophyta; Magnoliopsida; Poales; Poaceae.
CACCAGUUAACAUCCGUCCUUGUUCCCUCUUUGAUAGGUCGCCUGCGGAUGAGGGCAUGUCGAGCUCCGAAAGAAGCCGGGAUCCAAUGGCACCCAUUGGGUAUGUCAAGUCUCAACCACACCCAUCCACUGAAACUUGGUGGCAUUUUAUUUAUCCCCAUGGCAGUUCAUUUCUCUAUUUAUAUUGUCGGCCACACCUUGUGCAAUGGUGUUUUUCACCAUCCUGUCCCCUCUGCAUCUUUCCGUUUAGAUGUUACCAUCAUAGGAAGAUGAUAUUCCGCGCUAAAACACUGUUUUAUUGGGGAAUGAGAGGACUGAGAAAAUAGAGUGGUGAUCGAGUAGAGGAUAGCUGGUUUUGAUUAAUUGAUGGAGCAACUGAGAGAGUUCAAUGAGGAGGUGCAGAUCGUGGAAGAGGAAUCUCCUGAGGUGCGCAGGCACGUCGUCCUCUCUGUUCCAAGUCCUGCUAGAGAUGAUUUCAGAGGCAGAGGUGAAGUCAGGGAGACGAGGGGCCCAAUUAGUGCUUCCCUGGGUGCCAUGAGACCCCUUGUUGGGAAGCUGGACAUGUUGCUCUUUGGGGAUGCUCCUCUGGAAUGCUCUUCCAAGAGGGUUAAGGACGGUAUGCACCUCCUCAAAGAUGACGUUGAGAAGAUAAGCUCCUACCUUGAUGACCUGUCUGAGCUACAGGACCCUCCCCUGACGGCCAAGUGCUGGAUGAAUGAGGUGCGUGACUUGUCCUAUGACAUGGAGGAUUACAUCGACAGUUUAGUAGUUGUGCGACCUAAAGAUUUCCCCCUGUUACCAACAUCAAGAGCACCAAAUCCCACCACAAAUUGUCCAGCCAUAUCAAGACUUCCAAGAGUCAGAUUAUUAUUGCGGAAACGCUAUCAGAAUUUAGGAUGUAUGUCCAAGAGGUGAUUCAACGGUACCAGAGGUACAAUCUCCAUUCUUGCAGAACCUUGAGGCGUAGGUUUGUGUCCCUUGGCCCUAUGCUUCUUCCAAUGCCAUAUAAAGAAACUGAUGACAUAGUAAUCGAUGGCCGGAUGAAUGAAUUUAUCAACUCACUGGUUAAUGAUGGGGACCAGCAGCUCAAGGUGCUAUCUGUUCUUGGAUCUGCUUGUCUUAGUAAAACUACACUUGCUAGAGUGAUGUACAGCAGAUUUAGGAAACAAUACAGUUGCCGAGCUUUCAUUCAGGUGUCCAAGAAACCUGAUAUGAAGAGAAUUUUCCGUGACAUGCUCUCACAACUCCAGCGGCAGCAACCCCCACAAUAUUAUAUGGAAACUGAUCUCAUUCACCAUAUCAAGCAAUAUCUACAGGAUAAAAGGUAUUUAAUUAUUCUUGAUGAUGUAUGGGCUGCAUCAGUAUGGGAUAUUAUUAAUCAUGUUUUGCCAAAGGGUAAUUGUGGAAGCAGAAUAGUAACAACUACGCAGAUCGAAGACAUUGCAUUAGCGUGCUGCCAUUAUCAGUCAGAGUAUGUUUUUGAGAUGAAACACCUAGAUGAUGAUCAUUCUAGAAAGCUUUUCUUUAAUAGACUUUAUGGCUCUGAAGUGAUUGUCCUGAAGAGUUCAAAGAGGUACUGGAUGACAUUGUUGAAACAUGUGAUGGUUUCCCGCUAGCCACAAUCAGCAUAGCUAGCCUUUUAGCAAGCCAACCUGUCAUGUCAAUUGAUCUUUUGACGUACAUCCAACAGUCGUUAAGCUCUUCUCUUUCUACAUCAGAAAAAACGAGACAAGCACUGAAUCUUAGCUUCAAUAAUCUUCCUCGUUAUCUGAAGACAUGUUUGCUGUAUCUUAAUAUGUAUCCAGAGGGCCAGAUAUUCUUCAAGGAUGAUUUGGUGAAGCAAUGGGUAGCUGAAGGUUGUAUUGAUACAGCGGAAGGGCAAGACAUGGUGAAACUUGCAGAGAGCUAUCUUGAUCAACUUAUUGGCAGAAGACUCAUACUGCCUAUAUGUAUCAACUACAACAAUGAAGUGUUGUCCUGUACAGUUCAUGACAUGGUACAUGAUCUUAUUGCAUACAAGUCUGAAGAAGAAAAUUUCGUUUUGGUAAUAGACCACAGUCAAGCAAAUGUGUCACUUUCUCAUAAGGUCCGUCGACUAUCUCUCCUCUUUGGCGAUGCAAGAUAUGUCAAGAAACCAGCAAAUAUCAGAAAGUCACAAGUUCGGUCACUUAGAUUUUUUGGAUUAUCUGAGUGCAUGCCUUGCAUUAGAGAUUUCAAGCUUCUUCGUGUUCUGAAUCUCCAACUACCGGGUCAUGGUGGCGACGCUGAUGCCGACUCUUUUGAUCUCACUGGGAUCUCAGAACUGUUUCAACUGAGAUAUUUGAAGAUUGCAUGUGAUGUCUGCAUAGAGCUUCCAAACCAUGGGCUACCAUGUUUGGAAUUGCUAGAUAUUAUGGAUGCAAGAGUUGCUAGUGUUCCAUGUGAUAUCCAUCUACCACACUUGUUGCACCUCAGCCUUUCUGUCGAGAGAAAUCUGCUGGAUUGGUCUGUCAGUAAGGGGAGCCUUGGCAAGCUGAACUACCUGCAGGAUCUUCAUGUUAGCAUUGUUCCGUCUGCGCCUUCCUACGUUGUGGAGAGAAGCAUGGAAUCUCUAGGCUCUUUAAUCGGAGGACAUGGAAGCUUGAGAACUAUACAAGUGGUGGCUCAUGGCUCCUCGGUACAAAAUGCUCUGGUUCGUGGUGUGUCAAAAGUAACCAUUUCAUGGGAUGACUUGGCACCUCCCCCGUUUCUCCAGAGAUUUGAGUGUUCGCUGCAUAAGUGGCUUGGAAAACUUGGCAACCUAUGCAUUUUGAAGAUUUCAGUAAGGGAACUGAUGAUGGAUUGUAUUGAUAUUGUUAGAGGAUUGCCAGCCCUCGCCACUUUGUCGCUGUAUGUGCAGAAGGCGCCCAUUGAAAGGAUCAUCUUUGACAAAGCCGGGUUCUCAGUUCUGAGGCACUUCAAGUUGAGGUUCACGAGUGGUAUAGCUUGGCUAGUGUUUGAGGCAGAUGCAAUGCCUAAUCUCUGGAAGAUGAAGCUAGUCUUCAACGCCACCCCCCCAAUGGACCAACAUCCUUUUCUUUAUUCUUCGAAGCAAGGCGCCUUCGAACGACACCAACGUGGUACUGCAAUUAUCAGCGUCGAGCCUAUGCCAGAGCUUAGAGAGAUGUCGGUAAAAUUUGGGGGUGCAGCUGCUGAUCUAGAGUAUGCCAUGAGGACCUUCGUAAGGAACCAUCCGAGCAAUCCUACAAUCAUAGUGCAACUGGUGGAUCACAGUUCCUAUGGCGACGGAAUCACAAAACAGAGAACAUAGCAACCAGAUGAGAUUGUGGAGGAGGAGCCGACAUCCAACAGUAAACAGCCAGACGAGACCCUGAUGGAAGAAGUAGGUAAUUAUGACAAGAUUUUUGAGAGAGUGUUUGAGAGACCAAGGAUUUCGAGGCCAUCCCUCCCAAAAAAAAAGAGAAACAAGAUUUCAAGGCCAUCCCUCCCAGGAAAAAAGAAAGAGAAGAUUUCAAGGCAUCGCAUUGAAGAAGGGCCUCUGACACUUGGGGUGGAUCCAUGAGGUGAGUGGGACUACAAAGGGUGGAUUUAUGGACAAGAUUGACAGAGGUGCUGCUGAUUCCGUCGAGACGACGCGGUCAUAUGCUACUAGAUCAAGUCCCUCAUAUGCUGCUACCUGAGAAUGAGAUGGCCCUGAGCUCAUCUGGGCUGUCGUGCGUUGCCGGUGUGCUGCUCACCAGGCAGCUUGUACAAGAGAGAUUCUGUCGGCGUUCUCUUUAUGCAGCACCCUGUUUCCCAGGACUGAAGAAGAGGAGGAGUUCAAGAGAAAGCCCCCAUUGAAACAUCCGACUUGUAUUAUUUUUGUUGCAAUUUCAGAGUUCCGAUGGUUUUCACUGCGUUCUUCUGAUGGCUUUCAUUUCCCAGCUUUGUUUGUGAGCAUGUUACUACCAGUUAUUUUCCGAACAUCAAGUUCCGUGUUACGC